Long non-coding RNA from Papaver somniferum (opium poppy), 2098 nucleotides. RefSeq lists it as uncharacterized. The record is from RefSeq and is a predicted model, not a curated record. The transcript has 6 exons. Lineage: Eukaryota; Viridiplantae; Streptophyta; Magnoliopsida; Ranunculales; Papaveraceae.
UCACUUAUUCUCUUCUCUUAAGAAUAUACACUCUCUACUUCUCCGCCUCUGCAACUCUUCAUUAUUCCCUCCUCUUUUUUUCUUAGCUUUUUUUGUUGUUGUCGUCCUUGUCCUCCGUUGUUCUUCACCGCCUUUCCUGUCUCCGUUUUUCGAACCCUGGUUAUUUUCUAAUGGCUUCCUCAACUCCAUCCAUGACUGAAAAAAGGACUGAGAAUAAGACCUAUAAGUACACCAAUUUUAUUGAUGCCCAAUUUAUUGAUCAACUGAUGGAUGAAUACAACCUCCAUGAAUAUGAUUUGGAACUGUUGGCUGGUCAGAAGGGUCAACUGAGAAGAGAGUUGGUUGAUGGUUUUGUUAAUUCUCCUAAGGCGACCAUCAUCACCAAAGGACAACUUGAGCUUGGGUUAUGAUUCCCUUUGUAUGAUCCGAUCUGUCUUUUUUCCUAUGAGGUUCUGUCCCAGCUCCAUCCUUCUCAUGCCUUGGCUCAGUGGAAUGGGAACACCUUUCGUCUUAUGGCUGAAUGGGAGAGGCGAGGAAAGGGCGAGUGUUCCCCGACUUUUUGGUCGACCUAUGAUCCUUCUGACGCGAGAAAAUAUACUUCGGAUAUCCUUGUUGGGAAUUAUCGGAGCGGGACUUCUUCUUUCAUCUCUUUGGUUGGUUUCGCUGCCAGUCUGCAUCGCCUCAAGGUUCCUACCGGCGGGUUCGAUAAAUUAAUGCUAGAUGAAGAUCCCGAGGGUAGCACCAAUACUAAUAAGCAUGCCCAACAUACCAAUGAUUCUGUCUGGGAUCGGGUUCCACUUGUUAUCCGUGGUCCUAUUUUGAGUGGAAAGUUUCCUCCUCCUGAAUUUCCUCCCUAGCCCUAUCCUCUUUGGGUGGUUAAUGCUGAUCAGAGUAAUCAGCCUAAGGCUCAAGGUAAUCAAUCGAAGGCUCCAAACACUCGAAAGAGAGGCUCUAGCACCAGGACUGAGGAGGAGCCAGUGAAGAAGUCGAAGACUGGUGAGGAAGGUGUGGAGAUCUCGUCUGGGAAAUAUAGUGACGAUCUUGAGGAUCGCUUGCCUUUAUCCCAAUUUUUACCUAAAAAGUUGGUGAAUAAGAAGAAUUAUGACGUCUCGUCUACCGUUGUAGGUGAUCAAUCUGGUGGUAAAGGAGUUGUAGGGGAGAAGACCACUCCGAAUAAGAAGAAUGUGCCCCCGUCCUCUAAAGCCUCCCUUACUGGCAAAGGAGUUGUUCUUUCUGGUACCAAUGUAGGUGUGGUGAUGUCUGAUGAUGAUGACGACGAUGAGUUCUUUGGUUCUGAGGAUGAAAACGAUUUGUCGGGUGGAGGUGAGGAAUUGAAGGAACCCGAGAUUAUCGUCCCCGAGGAUAAUACCUCCACUCGAAACGAGCUGGUGAACAAGAAUCCUCUCCAGGAGGGAACAAUCGGGAGUUAUGUCUUUACUUUCUCGGGUCCCGUGUGUGAUUCUUUGGGUGCUCUUACGUCUCCUAGUUUCAGUUCUCUUUCUGCUGCCGAGAUGCUGAAGGUCGUGCACUUUAUGGUUCCUCUAUGAGAGAUUCCCUUAAUGAUAUGGUCGCGAACCAGAGGCUUCUUGAAGCUGUUAUUCGUGAGAAGGAGUUGGCAGAUAUGGUUGAUCUUCGGGUUCAACUCCAAGGGGAGAAGGAACGCGUCCGAGGGCUCGAGUGGUAGCUAGCCGAUGCCCAAGCCGAGCAAGGAAAGGUCAAAUCCCUGGAGGAAGAGGUCAUUCAGCUGAAGAGCAGUGAGGUGCAACUAAAUGAAGAGAUCACCACCACCGAUGCUGCUGCUGCGGAGUUAACUCGUCAACUUGCUGAAGCGAAGCAGAAGUAUGAAGCUGAGCUCGCCGCAAAGAUCAAGGAAGGGGUGAAGGAGUUCAUCGAGAAAAAAAGGGCUCAAGUUGCGGCCAAGAAGUCUGGCUCGGGAUCGAUUCCUCCGAAUGAAUAACUUAUGCCUUUUGUAGUGUUGCACCGCUAUUUUGUCCCCUAUAUCGGGCUGUAAUUCUCUCCCGCUUGAACACCUAUAGUUUUUAGAUAACUUUUUUCAUGGGGUGCUGCUUACCAACCAGUUUUUUUAUUUCAAUGUUUA